GACCCGGUGGCCCAAUGGUUAAGCACUCAGCUGCUAACUGAAAGGCUGGUGGUUCCAAUCCACCUAGCGGCU
RNAcentral lists this transfer RNA (72 nucleotides) under Loxodonta africana (African savanna elephant). It matches the Rfam family "tRNA". Rfam says of the family: Transfer RNA (tRNA) molecules are approximately 80 nucleotides in length. The record is from Rfam by way of RNAcentral. Lineage: Eukaryota; Metazoa; Chordata; Mammalia; Proboscidea; Elephantidae.